RNAcentral lists this unclassified non-coding RNA (377 nucleotides) under uncultured Oligoflexales bacterium. Its description in RNAcentral is "contains 16S-23S intergenic spacer region". The record is from RNAcentral. Lineage: Bacteria; Pseudomonadati; Bdellovibrionota; Oligoflexia; Oligoflexales.
UCCGGUUUAACACCGGCAGUCUCCGUAGAGUGCCCAACUGAAUGGUGGCAACUAGGGAUAAGGGUUGCGCUCGUUAAGGGACUUAACCCGACAUCUCACGAUACGAGCUGACGACAGCCAUGCAGCACCUGUCUCUCGGCCCCCGAAGGGGAAACGCCAUCUCUGGCGCUGUCCGAGGAUGUCAAAUCCAGGUAAGGUUCUUCGCGUUGCAUCGAAUUAAACCACAUGCUCCACCGCUUGUGCGGGCCCCCGUCAAUUCCUUUGAGUUUUAACCUUGCGGCCGUACUUCCCAGGCGGGGUACUUAAUGCGUUAGCGUCGACACUGCAGGGGUCAAUUCCUGCAACAUCUAGUACCCAUCGUUUACAGCGUGGACUAC